CAGUAGCCACGGUAACACGAAGGGGGCUAGCGUUGUUCGGAUUUACUGGGCGUAAAGCGCACGUAGGCGGAUCGAUCAGUCAGGGGUGAAAUCCUGGAGCUCAACUCCAGAACUGCCUUUGAUACUGUCGAUCUCGAGUCCGGAAGAGGUGAGUGGAACUCCUAGUGUAGAGGUGGAAUUCGUAGAUAUUAGGAAGAACACCAGUGGCGAAGGCGGCUCACUGGUCCGGUACUGACGCUGAGGUGCGAAAGCGUGGGGAGCAAACAGGAUUAGAUACCCGGGUAGUCCCUGUCUCUUAUAC
RNAcentral lists this ribosomal RNA (301 nucleotides) under uncultured bacterium. RNAcentral describes it as "partial 16S ribosomal RNA". It matches the Rfam family "Bacterial small subunit ribosomal RNA", at positions 509 to 807 of the family's 1533-position model. The record is from RNAcentral.